Molecule: ribosomal RNA, 442 nt
Filed under: uncultured bacterium
Lineage: Bacteria
Description: partial 16S ribosomal RNA
Rfam family: Bacterial small subunit ribosomal RNA
Source: RNAcentral
CCUACGGGUGGCAGCAGUGGGGAAUAUUCGGCAAUGGGCGCAAGCCUGACCCAGCAACGCCGCGUGCACGAAGAAGGCUUUCGGGUUGUAAACUUCUUUGACAGGGGAAGAGCAGAAGACGGUACCCUGAAAACAAGCCACGGCUAACUACGUGCCAGCACCCGCGGUAAUACGUAGGUGGCAAGCGUUGUCCGGAUUUAGUGGGUGUAAAGGGCGUGUAGCCGGGACGGCAAGUCAGAUGUGAAAUCUGGGGGCGUAAACUCCAAAUUGCAUGUGAAACUGUUAUUCUUGAGUACUGGAGAGGCAGACGGAAUUCCUUGUGUAGCGGUGAAAUGCGUAGAUAUAAGGAGGAACACCAGUGGCGAAGGCGGUCUGCUGGACAGCAACUGACGGUGAGGCGCGAAAGCGUGGGGAGCAAACAGGAUUAGAUACCCCUGUAGUC